RNAcentral lists this ribosomal RNA (446 nucleotides) under uncultured bacterium. RNAcentral's name for it is "SSU rRNA". It matches the Rfam family "Bacterial small subunit ribosomal RNA", at positions 26 to 518 of the family's 1533-position model. The record is from RNAcentral.
AGAAUGAACGCUGGCGGCAUGCCUAACACAUGCAAGUCGAACGAAGGCUUCGGCCUUAGUGGCGCACGGGUGCGUAACGCGUGGGAAUCUACCCUUAGGUUCGGAAUAACAGUUGGAAACGACUGCUAAUACCGGAUGAUGACGUAAGUCCAAAGAUUUAUCGCCUAGGGAUGAGCCCGCGUAGGAUUAGCUAGUUGGUGUGGUAAAGGCGCACCAAGGCGACGAUCCUUAGCUGGUCUGAGAGGAUGAUCAGCCACACUGGGACUGAGACACGGCCCAGACUCCUACGGGAGGCAGCAGUGGGGAAUAUUGGACAAUGGGCGAAAAGCCUGAUCCAGCAAUGCCGCGUGAGUGAUGAAGGCCUUAGGUUGUAAAGCUCUUUUACCCGGGAUGAUAAUGACAGUACCGGGAGAAUAAGCUCCGGCUAACUCCGCGCCAGCAGCCGC